UACGUAGGGGGCGAGCGUUGUCCGGAAUUACUGGGCGUAAAGAGCUCGUAGGUGGUUUGUCGCGUUGUUCGUGAAAUCUCACGGCUUAACUGUGAGCGUGCGGGCGAUACGGGCAGACUUGAGUACUGCAGGGGAGACUGGAAUUCCCGGUGUAGCGGUGAAAUGUGUAGAGAUCGGGAGGAACACCGGUGGCGAAGGCGGGUCUCUGGGCAAUUCCUGACGCUGAGGCGCGAAAGCGUGGGGAGCAAACAGG
Molecule: ribosomal RNA, 253 nt
Filed under: uncultured bacterium
Lineage: Bacteria
Description: partial 16S ribosomal RNA
Rfam family: Bacterial small subunit ribosomal RNA
Source: RNAcentral